GAUGAACGCUGGCGGCGUGCCUAAUACAUGCAAGUCGAGCGAACGGAUGAGAAGCUUGCUCCUCUGACGUUAGCGGCGGACGGGUGAGUAACACGUGGAUAACCUACCUAUAAGACUGGGAUAACUUCGGGAAACCGGAGCUAAUACCGGAUAAUAUUUUGAACCGCAUGGUUCAAUAGUGAAAGACGGUUUUGCUGUCACUUAUAGAUGGAUCCGCGCUGCAUUAGCUAGUUGGUAAGGUAACGGCUUACCAAGGCAACGAUGCAUAGCCGACCUGAGAGGGUGAUCGGCCACACUGGAACUGAGACACGGUCCAGACUCCUACGGGAGGCAGCAGUAGGGAAUCUUCCGCAAUGGGCGAAAGCCUGACGGAGCAACGCCGCGUGAGUGAUGAAGGUCUUCGGAUCGUAAAACUCUGUUAUUAGGGAAGAACAAAUGUGUAAGUAACUAUGCACGUCUUGACGGUACCUAAUCAGAAAGCCACGGCUAACUACGUG
RNAcentral lists this ribosomal RNA (497 nucleotides) under uncultured bacterium. RNAcentral describes it as "partial 16S ribosomal RNA". It matches the Rfam family "Bacterial small subunit ribosomal RNA", at positions 28 to 507 of the family's 1533-position model. The record is from RNAcentral.